This 253-nucleotide ribosomal RNA is filed under the name uncultured prokaryote. RNAcentral describes it as "partial 16S ribosomal RNA". It matches the Rfam family "Bacterial small subunit ribosomal RNA", at positions 525 to 777 of the family's 1533-position model. The record is from RNAcentral.
ACAGAGGUCCCGAGCGUUGUCCGGAUUCACUGGGCGUAAAGGGUGCGUAGGUGGCCUGGAAAGUUUGAUGUGAAAUCCCGCAGCUUAACUGCGGAACUGCAUUGAAUACUAUCAGGCUCGAGGAUCGGAGGGGAGACUGGAAUUCUUGGUGUAGCAGUGAAAUGCGUAGAUAUCAGGAGGAAUACCGAUGGCGAAGGCAGGUCUCAGGGCUGACACUGACGCUCAUGCACGAAAGCGUGGGGAGCAAACAGGA